CCUUCUGUGCCGCAGUUAACACAAUAAGUACUCCGCCUGGGAAGUACGAUCGCAAGAUUAAAACUCAAAGGAAUUGACGGGGGCCCGCACAAGCAGCGGAGCAUGUGGUUUAAUUCGAAGCAACGCGAAGAACCUUACCUGGACUUGACAUCCCCUGAAUAGUGCAGAGAUGCAUGAAGCCCUUCGGGGCAGGGAGACAGGUGGUGCAUGGUUGUCGUCAGCUCGUGUCGUGAGAUGUUAGGUUAAGUCCUGCAACGAGCGCAACCCCUAUCAUUAGUUGCUACCAUUAAGUUGAGCACUCUAGUGAGACUGCCCGGGUUAACCGGGAGGAAGGUGGGGAUGACGUCAAAUCAUCAUGCCCCUUAUGUCCAGGGCUACACACGUGCUACAAUGGUAGGUACAGAGAGAUGCAAGACCGCGAGGUGGAGC
This 429-nucleotide ribosomal RNA is filed under the name Clostridium magnum DSM 2767. RNAcentral describes it as "bacterial SSU rRNA". It matches the Rfam family "Bacterial small subunit ribosomal RNA", at positions 837 to 1268 of the family's 1533-position model. The record is from RNAcentral. Lineage: Bacteria; Bacillati; Bacillota; Clostridia; Eubacteriales; Clostridiaceae.